AUUUAUUGGAGAGUUUGAUCCUGGCUCAGGACGAACGCUGGCGGCGUGCUUAACACAUGCAAGUCGAACGGAGUAUUUUAUUUCGGUAAAAUACUUAGUGGCGAACGGGUGAGUAACGCGUAGACAACCUACCUUUUAGAUGGGGACAACAUCGCGAAAGCGGUGCUAAUACCGAAUGUUGUGUCUUUUCCACAUGGGAAAGCUACUAAAGAUGGCCUCUAUUUAUAAGCUGUCACUAAAAGAUGGGUCUGCGUCUGAUUAGCUAGUUGGCGGGGUAAAUGCCCACCAAGGCAACGAUCA
RNAcentral lists this ribosomal RNA (300 nucleotides) under Propionispira arboris. RNAcentral's name for it is "16S rRNA. Bacterial SSU". It matches the Rfam family "Bacterial small subunit ribosomal RNA", at positions 1 to 282 of the family's 1533-position model. Lineage: Bacteria; Bacillati; Bacillota; Negativicutes; Selenomonadales; Selenomonadaceae. The record is from RNAcentral.